This 461-nucleotide ribosomal RNA is filed under the name Capnocytophaga granulosa. RNAcentral describes it as "bacterial SSU rRNA". It matches the Rfam family "Bacterial small subunit ribosomal RNA", at positions 28 to 492 of the family's 1533-position model. The record is from RNAcentral. Lineage: Bacteria; Pseudomonadati; Bacteroidota; Flavobacteriia; Flavobacteriales; Flavobacteriaceae.
GAUGAACGCUAGCGGCAGGCCUAACACAUGCAAGUCGAGGGAGAAGCCCUUCGGGGCAGAAACCGGCGCACGGGUGCGUAACGCGUAUGCAACCUACCUUUCACAGGGGGAUAGCCCGAAGAAAUUUGGAUUAAUACCCCAUAAUAUUAUUGGAUGGCAUCAUUUGAUAAUUAAAAUUACGAUGGUGAAAGAUGGGCAUGCGUCCUAUUAGCUAGUUGGAGUGGUAACGGCACCCCAAGGCUACGAUAGGUAGGGGUCCUGAGAGGGAGAUCCCCCACACUGGUACUGAGACAGGGACCAGACUCCUACGGGAGGCAGCAGUGAGGAAUAUUGGUCAAUGGUCGGAAGACUGAACCAGCCAUGCCGCGUGCAGGAAGAAUGCCUUAUGGGUUGUAAACUGCUUUUAUAUGGGAAGAAUAAGGAGUACGCGUACUUUGAUGACGGUACCAUAUGAAUAAAGC